RNAcentral lists this long non-coding RNA (530 nucleotides) under Equus caballus (horse). RNAcentral describes it as "lncRNA (ENSECAG00000047442.1)". The record is from RNAcentral. Lineage: Eukaryota; Metazoa; Chordata; Mammalia; Perissodactyla; Equidae.
GACCAGCCAAGCCAGGUCCUCUAGGAGGCCCGCCCUGUGCGGGAACUCACUCCCGCUCCGAGCUGGCCGCACCCAGGCCUCCAUCUCCUCCCUUCCUCUCCUCUUCAUUGCCUCCGUUGCUGUCUGAGGGUACCUUCUCCAUUGGUCCUCUGGCUCAUCCUCUGUCUCCUCUCCCCACCCCCCAGCCUCUCUGUUUGUGGCCUCAGGAUGGAGCAUAGCUUCUGGCCCUGAGUAGGAGCUCAGGAAAUGUUUCUGUUGCUAAUCAGAAGAGAGCAGGUCACAAAACAUACCAUCAAGCUGUCUGUCCUCUUGGGUCCCAGCCAACCUGGGCACCGACUUCCUACACUCGGCAAUGACUCGUGGGCACAGUCUCCCCUCUGUCACAGGACCGCUGGACACCUCACAGUGAUGGCACAUUUAAAGUGUCAGCCCAGGGCCUGGACACUGCCACAGGUCCCUGCAGGCUAGCUGUGGUUUGUCAUUUUGCGGGUUAGGGCUGCGUACAUAGAGUGGCUGCUCAGUAAAUGCUG